GUCACGCUCAGUGCAAGUUAUUCUCUAACAACCAUCUGUACUCUCACCCCAGUGUCUCUACACCGCAGACUUGAGACUCAUCUGCCCUAAAAGGAGAUGAUCCAUGCAUCGAUCUCGAAUGGAUUGAUCACUGUCCUCCAUGACGAUCUUUCGAUCGAAAGUAUUUAAAAAUUAACCACUAAUGAUGUAUGUCUCAAAUUCUCAACACCUUGAGAAUAUACAAAAUUAUUUUUAUUAAUUUUUAAGAUAAAUCAUGGACACAUAUAUAUGAUUGGUUAUUAAGACUACCCAACAAGUACAAAAUAUGUCCUAGAGAAAAGUAUGUGUCAAC
RNAcentral lists this long non-coding RNA (331 nucleotides) under Elaeis guineensis (African oil palm). RNAcentral describes it as "long non-coding RNA (EGUI_LNC066115)". The record is from RNAcentral. Lineage: Eukaryota; Viridiplantae; Streptophyta; Magnoliopsida; Arecales; Arecaceae.